CCUACGGGUGGCAGCAGUCGAGAAUCAUUCACAAUGGGGGAAACCCUGAUGGUGCGACGCCGCGUGGGGGAAUGAAGGUCUUCGGAUUGUAAACCCCUGUCAUGUGGGAGCAAAUUAAAAAGAUAGUACCACAAGAGGAAGAGACGGCUAACUCUGUGCCAGCAGCCGCGGUAAUACAGAGGUCUCAAGCGUUGUUCGGAAUCACUGGGCGUAAGGCGUGCGUAGGCUGUUUCGUAAGUCGUGUGUGAAAGGCGCGGGCUCAACCCGCGGACGGCACAUGAUACUGCGAGACUAGAGUAAUGGAGGGGGAACCGGAAUUCUCGGUGUAGCAGUGAAAUGCGUAGAGAUCGAGAGGAACACUCGUGGCGAAGGCGGGUUCCUGGACAUUAACUGACGCUGAGGCACGAAGGCCAGGGGAGCGAAAGGGAUUAGAUACCCGUGUAGUC
This 446-nucleotide ribosomal RNA is filed under the name uncultured bacterium. RNAcentral describes it as "partial 16S ribosomal RNA". It matches the Rfam family "Bacterial small subunit ribosomal RNA", at positions 338 to 795 of the family's 1533-position model. The record is from RNAcentral.